This 1344-nucleotide long non-coding RNA is filed under the name Carassius auratus (goldfish). Its description in RNAcentral is "lncRNA (ENSCARG00000069619.1)". Lineage: Eukaryota; Metazoa; Chordata; Actinopteri; Cypriniformes; Cyprinidae. The record is from RNAcentral.
AUGCUAAAUUUCUCCAAACCUGUUCCAAUGAAGAAAAACUCAUCUACAUCUUGGAUGAGUACAUUUUUCACUUACACAACAUUCUGGAGUCAGGAAUGGAUUCUAACCACAGUAAUAUGUACCACAGUGGCCAUGCUACAAAUAAUUACUGCCCAUUGCUUUGAUGGAUUUUCCAAUCUCUUUUUUUUUGCAGUUGAAUGCCAUUCACAACAGAAAUCUUUUGUUUUUUAGGCCUGUUUAAAUGUUAUAGCACCAGCUAUUUUCUGAUCUUAAUGAAACUUUGCAUGAUUGGUGGGUCAUCUUUCACAUGUUAUAACCAAGUUUCAUAAAGUUUUGAGUUUUUGUUUCAGUUUUAUAGGCUUUAGGUUACAUGUGGCCACGGCCCUUUCCUAAAUGACCUCUUAUAGCUAACCAAAGGACAAAAUACAACAUAUUUUUUCAAAGUUAUUGAUCUAGAGAGUCCUGAGAAUAUUACUGCAGUGGUUUGAUCAAGACUGAACAAAAAACCAGGUGACCCAAAACAUUCAAAUUCGUGGACCAAUUUUACGAAAAAGGCUAUAACUCGGGAACAAAAUGAGAUAUCUUCACCAAACUCAGAACUCAUAUGCAUGAAAAAAAACUUUAGUCAAAUUAUUAUUAUUUUUCCAUAUCUGCCACUUGGUGGCGCUACAGGAUGAAAAAAAAUCAAAUUGCUAUAACUAAGCAACCGUUGAUCCAAUCAACUUGAAAAUUGAUAUGGCCCAAUGUGGCACAAGUGCUCUAUGAGGAAUUUCACUUAUCUUAAAAAACAUGGCCACCAUUGGCCAAACAACUUUAAUCACCUAUUUGACAAGGUUAAUGGAAGUCGAUCGGAACGAAACUCGGUGGGCAUGUUCGACUCAUUGCCAUAAAGGUCUGUAAGUAUUUUGAAAGAAAUUGCCCACAACAUUGUCACCUCCCACAGAACACAACAAAGCGAUUUGAUUACAGCGCCACCUAUUUUCCAAAAAUGAUAAUGCAUCAUUUUACUGGAGUUUUACUGGCUGUUUCAAUUACACUCUUCCAAUAAUUGCUUUUCUUACUCGUUGCAUUGGGUCUGAUGCUCCAUGCCAUGCUUAGCUCCUCGCUGUGGAACUUUUAUUAACGAUUUUCAGCCAUUUCAAUUACAAUCAUGCAAUUAUUAAUUUCAUUAUUCAUUGUUGCAUUUGGUCUGAUGCUACAUAUGCUUAGCUCCUGAUGUUGCCGCUGGAAUGCUUGGCCCCGUGAUUGCUGCUUGCAGCUAUAUUUAUUAUUAUUAUUUUCUGAAUGUGUUUCUUCGUCUGCUUGCUCACAUUGUUUUGAACUAUGCAGUCAGUAUAACUGUGU